This is a long non-coding RNA of Gasterosteus aculeatus aculeatus (three-spined stickleback), 6938 nucleotides long. Lineage: Eukaryota; Metazoa; Chordata; Actinopteri; Perciformes; Gasterosteidae. The record is from Ensembl.
UUUAAGAGAAAGUGUUUAUUGAAAGAAACAAUUACAUGAGGAAGAGUAAACAUUUUAAAGCGUUAAAAUUGUUCGUAACGGAGGACAGAAGUUUUGCAAACAGACGCCGUUGGCUCAGCUUGAUGAAUCAAUAUUAAAUGAGUGAAUUACUGCAGUUAAUGAAAAGGUUUUACGGGUUACAAAUAGUUGCGUGAUGUAGUUUGUACAUAAAUCUGAGUUCUAGUCCCUGAGCCUCAAAACUAUUUUCACAAUGUGAUGACAUGCAUAGUUUAAGUGUGACGUUUGUGGACGUCCGUCCAGCAGAAACGCAGCUCCGUGUUUACGACUUGUCGAGGUGAAGUGACAAAAUUCAGUGUCCUGCUUCCGAAGAAUGAAGCUUCUGUCAAGUGUAAAGCAAAAGACAAUUAAAGCGUUUGGGAGUUUUUAUUGUCUCACACGUGUUAGUUCUCAGAACAGAUAAGUAAGUAUUUCAUCCCAGAGCCUUUAACAGAUGCAUAGUUAAUGGUUUUAAGGAAACAGUGUGAAAACAAACAUUUCACAGCUUACUAAAAAAGUAAAAACACGAGUUUCUCCCUCGAGACGAAACAUACUUUUUCGCCUCUUCACUACAAAUACAUGAACUAUCCAUUUAUAAACCAACAGAAGAUGAUUCAAAGACCUUGUCUGUUUCACAGCUUUUCCCUUAACGCACAUCCUAAACGGAGGACACCUUUAACGACAGUAAGAUAUUCAGCGCUUCCGUUCGUCACCGCUUAGUUUGCAUGGGAUGCAGAUGGCAUUUGUUUUAUUAAAUGCUGCAGCGUAGCAGCAAUCCCUGAAGGGCGGAACAUCCAACCCUGAAUAACCUUUGAUUGAAAAUGUCUUUGCAGCCCCAAAUACCAAGCUGCUCCACGUUUCCAUAGCAACCGCAAACGGAUGCCGCUAAAUAAGUCACCGCUAAAUGCAUCCAGAAAUGUAUUAUAUUGAAAUUGAUCAGUACGGGCCUCAAAAAUGACUUUGGCAAUACGAGGAAGCUCGAAAUGCAUCUUCUUCCCACCGCAGCAGCUCUGCUUCGAGAUAAAAACGCAGAGGAAGCUUUAAAAAGGAGACGACAGUGAAACGGGACCGUAAACAUUGUGUCCUUUAGGAAUAUACUUUUAUGAGAACAGUUAUUAUUUCAGGUGUAAAGGCACAAACAUGAAGGAGAUUGUCUUGUUUCGGGGUUUUCAGGUCCAGCAGCGACGGGUCAGAGGAAUCCUGGGGGAGAAAACAGAAUCCCAAUAAGUCUUUGAGGGGAAACGGAUUCUUUGCUUCCGUCAAAAUAAGACAAAGCAAGACGGGAACUUCAGCUUUUACCAUUUAAACAACUCCUUCGAGGUAAAGAAAGAUAUAGAUUUUUUUACACUAUAGGUUACAUGAUCAAUUUCCAAAUAGAAUAAAAAAAAAUUUUUAACUUCAUAAAGAAGAAACAUAACUUACCGAGAUUUGCUCAGAGAUCGUCUGAGGCGAUUUUUAUCUUUUUGGGGGUUUUCUUUUUCUGGAAGGAUCAAAAAAGAAGAAAUUUAGUCGUGAAUCCAAACAACGUAACGGAAGAAGAGGCGAAGCGUGGGUAGAAGGUCGCGUCGGUUGCCAUGGAGACACGUCUCACCUUCGCAGCGGGAGGAGUUUGUUCCUCUGCAGCCGGUUCCGUCUCCUCCGACCGGUUCCUCUCUGCAAAUCAGAAUUCAAACAUGAAGCCUGAAGCUGUUCUUCCCGUUCGUGUCCGCUAAGCGAUUCCUUUGGUUUAAUGGAUUCUUUAAUUGCUAAAAAUUAAUAUGUUUAACAGCGAGAAAGUGUCUCACUCUUUUUCUUUGCAGAAGUGACGGGCAUGGGGCUGUCAGUCGUCUCCUCGCCUUCUUCAGCCAUGAUCAUCAUCUUCUUCUUCUUCUUGCCUUCCUUUGGAAGUGGAGUCGAUGCCGUCUCAGGAGGUCCGGAGCUCUCCUCCUUUUCCUCCUCCUCCUCUGUUUGCUUCUUCUUUUUCUUCUUCGGCGGUUGGUUUUCCUUUGAGGAAUUCUCUUCUUGCUCUCCGUUCAUUUUAAUCAUCUUCUUCUUCUUCUUUGGUGUGUCGUCGCUCUUCUGGGCGGGGUCACCUUGGGGCGUCUCCUCCGCGGUCGCCUUUUGUCUGCAAGAAUGAUUGAUGUUACUUGUGAUUAAUGAUUGUGAUUUACAAUGAAGGUAUUGCUGAUGUAACUAUACUUGUUAAAUGUUUGACUCUAAUCUAAAUAUAUUUUGUGUUUAUUCCACAUUGAUCUAAUUAUUAUAAAUUGCUUAAAUAUAUUUAUGCAUUUUUUACAGUUACAUUAUUUAUAUGCACGUAUUUUAAGACCAUAAAGAGGCCAAAGAAAACCUCUGACCUCAUCUUCAUUAUCUUUUUUCUACGGUGUUGCAACCUUUUCACGAGGCUGUGUUUCUUCCUGAAACGGCGAUUCUUAGUCGAUGAGCUUGCAUCUAUAAGAAGAAAAAAAAGAAGUAGUAAAAAGUACAAAUCAUUGAACUUCAAAUUGUAAGCGCAGUGAAAGAAGAAGGUAUUCGGUUGCGUUGUUUGUAAACAGUCUUGUGUUCAUUUUGCAUGCAUUGUUUGUGAGGAAUAUCUUUAUUUUCAUUAUUACCGUAACAUUACUACUAUAGAUUUUAACAACCAUACUUUAUGUCAGCCUGGACAUUUAAUCUGAAAAAGGACUAAAGACGGAGUAGAAAUAAGAGUUUGACAGGUGGGAGACACCGACUACCUGUGGACUCCUGAUCCUUGUCUGUGUCUGUGUUGCCCCCUGCUGGUGUUUCCUUAGACGGUUUCUUCUUCUUUGUCUUGGCUGGACUCGAGGACAAGCUGCACUCCACUUCUACGGCCUCGCUCUUCUCUUCUGUUACCUUCUUCUUCUUCUUUUUGAUUUUCUUCUCUGAAGGCGUGACCUCUUCCUUCUCCUCCGCUACCUCUUGCUCCAUCUUCCUUUUCUUAGCCUUCUUCUUCUUCUUCUUCUCCUCCUCCGGUGAAGUGGCCAAAGAGGCAUCCGCCUCCUCUAUCGUCUGAUCUGCCUCCUCCUUUUCUUCCGUCUGCUUCCCCUCGGCCCUCCGUUUGUCUCUCUUCAUCUUUUUGGCGGUCUUGGCGGCGAGAGGAGCGUCGCUGGGUGCGUCUACGGUGGACGAGUCGGUGCUCGGUGCCUCCGCCUCCUCUUUGCUCUUCUUUUUCUUCUUCUUCUUCGAGGGGGUUUUGGAAAGGUCUUCCUCGGGGGGCGGCUGGCUGGAUCGUGGCUGGGUCGGGUCGGUGUCCUCGAUGUUGAGGACGAUGGAGACUUCAGGGUCUCCGGAGGCCGUCACCAUUUCUGCAACAGGACACAGAAACACUUACCAAGUUGUAGCAAACCGAAGUCAACUUUAAAAAAAUUAAACACAAUUUGAGAAAUUGUUGCUAAUGAAAUAGCUGAGUAGCUAGUAACCACUAGCCUACUUUGACUAGUAACCACUAGGCUACUGUGACUAGUAACCCCUAGUAACCACUGGGAUACUGUGACUAGUAACCCCUAGUAACCACUAGGCUCCUGUGACUGGUAACCCCUAGUAACCACUGGGCUCCUGUGACUGGUAACCCCUAGUAACCACUGGGCUCCUGUGACUGGUAACCCCUAGUAACCACUGGGAUCAUGUGACUGGUAACCCCUAGUAACCAGUGGGCUACUGUGACUAGUAACCAGUGGGCUACUGUGACUAGUAACCAGUGGGCUACUGUGACUGGUAACCAGGAGGCUACUGUGACUGGUAACCCCUAGUAACCACUGGGCUACUGUGACUGGUAACCCCUAGUAACCACUGGGCUACUGUGACUGGUAACUCCUAGUAACCACUGGGCUACUGUGACUGGUAACCCCUAGUAACCAGGAGGCUACUGUGGGUGGUGAGAAAAGGAGUUAAUGUCAAGCCCCGCAUGCAUUUACAACACAGACCUUAUUAGAAUGACCAGCGUCUCUGCACACGUGCGUUACCGACAGGUCAAUUCCCCAAAUAGCGGCGUGUGGUGUUUGAGGUUGAACCUAACGUUAGCUAACAAGCUAAGUAGGGCUAAUCCCACACACACGUGCGGAUAAGCAGGAUGCAUCCGGCUCUCCGGUACCGUUAACUUAUUCAAACAAACAGCACAAACACGCACACGCUCUCUCGUCUGAACAACACGAACAUACCUGCAAAUGGGCCGAAAUAAUCACAGGAGUGAUUUUGUGUUCCUCAGUAAACGCGUUUACUAGAAUGAGAGGAAACACGCGUGUUGCCGGAAUGUGCCGGCGAAGACCGAAGCAAUCGAUCCCAGUGUAGCUGAUCAGGCGACUUAGUAGAUAAAGGAUUGAGGACUAAUGAUUCAUUCCUUUUAGACAAAAACUGAUGUAAAUAAACCGUAGAUCACUAACUCUCUAUGAAUGGACUCCUUAGAAUGAUGCAGGUCAUCAUUUGCACGCUUACCAGAGACGUUUUGCAAAUUUUCACUGAUAAAAACCUAGAUUAUGCGUUGAAAAAUGUUUAUUUAUUAACAUGUAUAUUAAUAUGUGCUACUGCGGGAUUAGAAAAUACUGUGUUUAACCAUUCAAGGUCUAACAUAGAAAAUGUUUUAUGUGAUAAAACGUUGGUAUUCAGGUACUUUUAGAGCUCAACGUGUUUGUUACUGAACCAACUGAACAAGAAUAUUCAUAAUUUAUAAUACAUACAAAUACAAAAUGAGACCAUUAUGGAACAAUAUGUUGAAGUUCGCUGGCUGAAACUGAAAACUCCUAUACAUGUAUUAAGCAUAUUCCGUCUCUAACAGUUACCAGAGUCAUUGGGGGGCUCCGGGGGGGUCGUCUGGUCUUCAGCCUCCAGAGAGGAUGUGAGAUCAACGGCCUCUGACCUCUGAGUGAACACAUUCAACAACUAGAUGUUAUUACCAGCACAACUAUUAUUAAUGCCUGUACAGUUUGUAUUUACUGUACCUCAGAUGUCUCCUUUUCCUCCUCGUUUGGAUUCUCAGAAUCAGGGUCUGAAAAAGGAGAAAAGUUUAUUUAACAGUCUUCAUCAGAAGCAUUUUAUUGGUACUUUGGGAUUACGAGGUGUUCAAACAUCACGACCGUGAGAGACAUACUUGGUGUAGAUGCCGUAACAAUAACCGUGAAACAAACAAACAGACCAAAUUGAAGGUGAAACUAUAAAACAUAAAUAUAAAUAUUCUGUGCGUCUCCCGUGACUGAACCAAUUAAACUGAUUUUACCACCACACCAACUUAAAAAUAAAACUGCUCUAGAUAUUUAUUCCCUUAUUAUUGAUAUUACCUUUUGACAUCCACAUGAACCACUCUUCCCAUUGGCAUAAAUCUGCACAAUACUUUUCUAAAGAAAAAAGAAAAUGUAUAAAAUGUAAAGCUAGUUCUAGUUACUCGUUAUUUCCUUCUUUCCAAGCCGUGAAGAACCAACGUUGAGUUUCCGUAAAACUUGAAUUGCACCGAUAUUAAUGCAUCUCGCUGGAAGCCCGACGUCAUGUCGGUGGAGCGAAGCUCAUAAAAAGCCAUUUAAUCUUCAUCCAAACCGCCCGAGUUCUUCUCUCUGAAUACGUUUUCAUAACGUAGAGUUUGGUCUUUAUUGCUCUCAAACUCAAAACCCUUUUGCCCAGCAGACACUCACUUGUUGUGGCAACAAAAGCAACAGGUGGAACUAAUGAACCGCGGCUUAAUUCCAGCAAUUAUCUUGAUGCAGCGCAGCGAUUAGUGAUGUCCUCACCGGUUGUUCAAACUGCGCCUGACAAGUCACAAUGUCUGCUCACGGGGGAAAAAGAAAAAAGAAAAAAAAGGUCUAGGGCUAUUUAACUUUAGUUUCUGCCCUAAAGUCAGGAAUUAAAUCCUCAGACUGCCGCCCCCCGGGUGCUUAACGAACCCCUCGGAGAAGUCAAACAAUGUGGAAAAGUCCUCCGGCUGCUCACAGCGAGUUAUUCUGAUUAACAAGGAGAAUGUUUCUAUAAAUACACAGCAUGGACAUUUCUGAAGGUUUUGAGUAGUUGCACAGAUAUCAUUUAAUGAAUUAAUUUAGCUCCUCGUGUUGAUGGUAGAAAAUCUGCAUGAGCCAAACUAAUGACAUCAGCAUGGCGACAUUCCACUAAAGGCGAGUGGAACCACGGUUUUAUGGAUUUGAAUUUUUUUUUUUGGGGGGAGAUUCAAACUAUAUUUUCUUGAAUCCGAAACCAUAUAGUAAUGAAAAACAAUGGGUAACAAAUGUUGAAACAAACUUGCACACAUUUUUUUGCACACUUUUUCAUAAUAAAUGUAAAACCCUCCUUGUAUGUUUUUUCACCAGCAGAGGAAAAAGAGCUCGGAGCGUUUUCUUCAGAACAGGUUGUGACUGCCGUCAGUAUCGUGGGAAAGAGGCAGGAGGAGAUGCCGUGCAUAACGUAAAAGGCCGAGCUUGGUUCUCAAGCGUCUCGUUGGUUGUCCAUACCUGCAGUGGGCGGGGCCUCGCUCUCAACCGGCUGCUCAUUGGCCUCCACAUCAGUCAGCUCCGGCGCUGCAACCUCUUCUGGGCCGGACGUCUGCAAAGAGGAAGCAACAGGUCAACAACCUUCUCCAACCAGACGGGAGAGAGACAGGUCGGAUCCUUUGGGUCCUCCCAUCGCGAGACGGGUCGGAUCCUUUGGGUCCUCCCAGCGCGAGACGGGUCGGAUCCUUUGGGUCCUCCCAGCGCGAGACGGGUCGGAUCCUUUGGGUCCUCUAUCACGAGACGGGUCGGAUCCUUUGGGUCCUCUAUCACGAGACGGGUCGGAUCCUUUGGGUCCUCCCAGCGCGAGACGGGUCGGAUCGUUCGGUCCUCUAUCACGAGACGGGUCGGAUCCUUUGGGUCCUCUAUCACGAGACGGGUCGGAUCCUUUGGGUCCUCCCAGCGCGAGACGGGUCGGAUCCUUUGGGUCCUCUAUCGCGAGAC